Molecule: ribosomal RNA, 460 nt
Filed under: uncultured Porphyromonas sp.
Lineage: Bacteria; Pseudomonadati; Bacteroidota; Bacteroidia; Bacteroidales; Porphyromonadaceae
Description: bacterial SSU rRNA
Rfam family: Bacterial small subunit ribosomal RNA
Source: RNAcentral
CCUACGGGGGGCAGCAGUGAGGAAUAUUGGUCAAUGGGCGAGAGCCUGAACCAGCCAAGUCGCGUGAAGGAUGACUGUCUUAUGGAUUGUAAACUUCUUUUGUAGGGGAAUAAAGAAUGGUACGUGUACCAUAGUGAAUGUACCCUACGAAUAAGCAUCGGCUAACUCCGUGCCAGCAGCCGCGGUAAUACGGAGGAUGCGAGCGUUAUCCGGAUUUAUUGGGUUUAAAGGGUGCGUAGGCGGCCUGUUAAGUCAGCGGUGAAAUCUAGGGGCUUAACUCCUAAAUUGCCAUUGAUACUGGUGGGCUUGAGUGUAGAUGAGGUAGGCGGAAUGCGUGGUGUAGCGGUGGAAUGCAUAGAUAUCACGCAGAACUCCAAUUGCGAAGGCAGCUUACUAAGGUACAACUGACGCUGAAGCACGAAAGCGUGGGUAUCAAACAGGAUUAGAUACCCGUGUAGUC